This 253-nucleotide ribosomal RNA is filed under the name uncultured bacterium. RNAcentral's name for it is "partial 16S ribosomal RNA". It matches the Rfam family "Bacterial small subunit ribosomal RNA", at positions 524 to 776 of the family's 1533-position model. The record is from RNAcentral.
UACGAAGGGUGCUAGCGUUGUUCGGAAUUACUGGGCGUAAAGCGCGCGCAGGCGGUCUUCCAAGUCAGUGGUGAAAGCCCGGAGCUCAACUCCGGAACUGCCAUUGAAACUGUUGGACUUGAGUACGAGAGAGGUGAGUGGAAUUCCCAGUGUAGCGGUGAAAUGCGUAGAUAUCGGAAGGAACACCUGUGGCGAAAGCGGCUCACUGGACCAUAACUGACGCUGAGGCGCGAAAGCUAGGGGAGCAAACAGG